GGCAGUUCUCAGGUGAUGCACCCCGGAAUCAGGCUUCCUCCUCUCUGGUUCCGGGUGCAUCAUCCAAGAACCACA
Molecule: non-coding RNA, 75 nt
Organism: Myotis davidii
Lineage: Eukaryota; Metazoa; Chordata; Mammalia; Chiroptera; Vespertilionidae
Source: Rfam